CAGUAGCCACGGUAAUACAGAGGGUGCAAGCGUUAAUCGGAAUUACUGGGCGUAAAGCGCGCGUAGGUGGUUUGUUAAGUUGGAUGUGAAAUCCCCGGGCUCAACCUGGGAACUGCAUCCAAAACUGGCAGGCUAGAGUAGGGCAGAGGGUGGUGGAAUUUCCUGUGUAGCGGUGAAAUGCGUAGAUAUAGGAAGGAACACCAGUGGCGAAGGCGACCACCUGGGCUCAUACUGACACUGAGGUGCGAAAGCGUGGGGAGCAAACAGGAUUAGAUACCCCCGUAGUCCCUGUCUCUUAUAC
Molecule: ribosomal RNA, 301 nt
Filed under: uncultured bacterium
Lineage: Bacteria
Description: partial 16S ribosomal RNA
Rfam family: Bacterial small subunit ribosomal RNA
Source: RNAcentral